UCAGCCUGUGUAUGUUUCUGGUGUGGCAUUUGCCGUUGUUGCAGCCUUGAAAGAUGAUGGUAGCAACAUGGGAAAAGUAUAUGAACUUGGUGGGCCAGAUGUGUAUACAUUACAUCAAUUGGUGAUUGAUUCUCAUGAUUUCUUUUGUCCUGUUCAAAAUUCAAACUAAGAUUGAGUCAUCAUAAUUUGAUCUUUAUUAUUUUUACAGGCUAAGCUUAUGUACAAAGUGAUUCGAUAAUGGCCUCAUCAUGUUAAUUUGAUCUAUGACUAAACUGCCCUUCCUAAGUUGGUGGUUGAUUUUGGCUCUCUUGAACUUUCACCUGUUGAUGGAAGGACAUUGAUGGGCGUACACUUUUGGAGUCAUCUAAAACAUCUUUGGAUAAAGGCAAACUUGAAGAUGCUGUCAACUUUGGAACAAAGGCACUGUCUAAACUUGUAUCUGUAUGUGGUCCUUAUCAUCGAAUGACAGCUGGUGCAUAUAGUCUUUUGGCUGUGGUGCUUUAUCAUACUGGUGAUUUUAAUCAGGCUAUUAUCUACCAACAAAAAGCUUUGGAUAUAAAUGAGAGGGAACUUGGGCUCGAUCAUCCAGAUACAAUGAAGAGUUAUGGGGACUUGCCUGUUUUUUACUACAAGCUCCAACACACUGAGUUGGCUCUCAAGUAUGUUUUUUUUUCUUUCUUAAAAACAAUAAAAAUUUAUCAUAGAAAAAUAUGAGAAGAAUGUAUUUUCCAGGUGGCGCACAUGUUGAGGAG
Lactuca sativa (garden lettuce) is the source of this 752-nucleotide non-coding RNA. The record is from RefSeq and is a predicted model, not a curated record. NCBI's taxonomy places the organism in Eukaryota, Viridiplantae, Streptophyta, Magnoliopsida, Asterales, Asteraceae.